AACGCGAAGAACCUUACCAGGUCUUGACAUCCAGUAAAACUUGCAGAGAUGCAAGGUGAGCUUGCUCAUACUGAGACAGGUGGUGCAUGGUUGUCGUCAGCUCGUGUCGUGAGAUGUUGGGUUAAGUCCCGCAACGAGCGCAACCCUUAUUUUCAGUUACUAACGCGUAAAGGCGAGGACUCUGAAGAGACUGCCGGGGACAACUCGGAGGAAGGUGGGGACGACGUCAAAUCAUCAUGCCCCUUAUGACCUGGGCUACACACGUGCUACAAUGGCCACCACAGAGAGGUGCGAACCUGUAAGGGGGAGCGGAUCUCAAAAAAGUGGUCCCAGUUCGGAUUGUGGGCUGCAACCCGCCCACAUGAAGUCGGAGUUGCUAGUAAUCGCGGAUCAGCAUGCCGCGGUGAAUACGUUCCCGGGUCUUGUACACACCG
Molecule: ribosomal RNA, 434 nt
Filed under: uncultured rumen bacterium
Lineage: Bacteria
Description: bacterial SSU rRNA
Rfam family: Bacterial small subunit ribosomal RNA
Source: RNAcentral